AAAACCAUCUGCCUUUCCAAUACAUUAUAGGUCAUUUUGACUAAAACCCUAAUUUUAGGUCAACUUCCCAAGGACAUAACUCAUUCAUUUUUUAUGAUUUUGAGGUGGGAUCAAAUGAAUUGGAAAGCUUAAGAUGUCUAAUUCAAAUGUUAUGUUGAUCAAAAUCCCAAAAUCUCAAACUAAACACAUGUGAUAAUGCAAGACAUUAUAGGUCCUUUUUGGCCAAAGGCAUUAAAAG
RNAcentral lists this long non-coding RNA (238 nucleotides) under Lathyrus oleraceus (garden pea). Its description in RNAcentral is "Pisum sativum (pea) long non-coding RNA (PSAT_LNC018040)". The record is from RNAcentral. Lineage: Eukaryota; Viridiplantae; Streptophyta; Magnoliopsida; Fabales; Fabaceae.